AAAUAAUAUAAUUUAAUUUAAUUAGUAUUAAUUAAUUUAUAAUAUAAAAUUUUAAAUUAAAAUUUAUUAAGUGAAAUUUUUAAAUUUUAAUAAAAUUUAUUGUUUUUAAUGAAGUUAAAAAAUUUAAUGUAUAAACUAGGAUUAGAUACCCUAUUAUUUUAAAUGUAUUUUAUUAUACUAAAUUAGUAUUAGUUAUGUUCUUUAAAAUUAAAAAUUUUGGCGGUAUUUUAGUCUAUUCAGAGGAACCUGUUCUAUAAUCGAUAAUCCACGAUUUAAUUUACUUUUUUUAUUAGUUUGUAUAUCGUCGUAAUUUGAAUAUUUUAUAAGAAAAAUAAUAUUCAAAAUUUUAAAUAAUAAAAUAAAUCAGAUCAAGGUGCAGUUUAUAAAAAAGAAGAAAUGGGUUACAAUAAAUAAAUUUAAGGAUUAUUAUAAUUAAAAUAAUAUGAAUUUGGAUUUGAAAGUAAAUUUAAUUAAUUAAUUAAAUUGAUUUUAGCUCUAAAAU
This 502-nucleotide ribosomal RNA is filed under the name Ambrostoma quadriimpressum. RNAcentral describes it as "partial 12S small subunit ribosomal RNA". The record is from RNAcentral. Lineage: Eukaryota; Metazoa; Arthropoda; Insecta; Coleoptera; Chrysomelidae.